AUGUGCCAAGCUUUUUCCUAGGUGCUAAGAAUAUAAAGGUAGAAUUGAUUGAGUCAGCCCUCAAGAAGUUUCUAUUCUAGGUGAUGUCGAAGUAGUAUAAGUACUCUAUAAUUUAAAGUAAAGAAAUAGGGUAUGUUAGUGGGAAAAUCUGAGGAAAGAGAAAAUGUUUGUAAUUUAGGAACUCAGAGAAGGCAACAUAUAAGAGAAGGCACUCAAGCUAAAGCCUUUUUUUAUAGAGGAAAAUGAGGAAGCAUGGAAGAUUGCCCCAGAAAAUUUAUGGAGGUGUAAGAUGGCAGCUUAGGUCGGUUUCUGGUGUCAGUUUUCUGUACUCUUGACUGCAUGAAAGAGGAUAAUGUGAAAUAAAGUUAGAAAAAUAGACUGAAGCAUAUUGUGCUGAUGUUGCUUAAUGCUGCCUGGCCUUUGCUAUUGAGACAUUUCCUAGAAUAAUGGCUAACAUUUAAAGUUUACAGAGUGCUUCAAAUAUAUUAUUUUCUUUGAGCCUCACACAAAACUAUAGGGAUUGUAGGUAUUAUUGUCAUGUUACCUUUGGGGAAACUGAUGCUUCAAAGAUGAAAUGAUUUGCUCCUGGUCAUAUGGAAAGUAUUUAGGGUGGGAUACUGUGAUGCCUCUCCCAUACAAGAAGUAGUCGGUACCUACUGGUAACAAUACCUGAGAGAAAGUAGAGGCUAGUCUUAGAAAAUCUUGGAGUUUGGGUAGAAAUAAUAUAAAGCCCUAGUUUUGUUUGUUUGUUUGUUUUAAUCUCCCUAUUCCUUUAUUUUUCCUGAUUUCCUUUAGAAAAUGAAUGGAAUCUUGGUUCAACUUUACACUUCCCUAUUCCCUCCCUCUCCAACCUCUCUCCCUUUGGAAUGAAGUUUUUACCAUUUUUAGUUUGGGAUUCUGCAAUAUCCAUCUGAAUCUGUCCUCACUCACCUAUAACAUUAACUGUUCCCCAGGUCCCAUUUGUGCACAUCACCAGAGGAUAUGGCAGCCCUGGGGGCAAUGCAAGAGCCACUCUCUGCUUCAGCUCACAUCAGCUUUCCAUCACCCGGAUCCCAUUCAGGGCCUCCACAUCAUGAGAUGCUACUGCACCUCCAGGACCCCCAAUACGUUUUAGUUGGUGCAUCCACAACAAAGAAAUCACUUACUUUUGAAAUAUAUAAAAAUUGGAUACAAUGUGGUGGCCACAGAGCCACUGUCCUCCACAGACCUCAGUCUCAUCUGCU
Molecule: long non-coding RNA, 1223 nt
Filed under: Sarcophilus harrisii (Tasmanian devil)
Lineage: Eukaryota; Metazoa; Chordata; Mammalia; Dasyuromorphia; Dasyuridae
Description: lncRNA (ENSSHAG00000031721.1)
Source: RNAcentral